GAUGGCUUCCCUGUGAUAGGCCGUCCAAUCGCUGUUAGAUGGUUCCACAGUAAAAAAUAUAUCUCCCGAAACAGCAGCCAGUCCCAGUGUAAAAAAAGUUCAGUUCUUUUUUUUUUUUGUGUUACAGUCGUCAUCUAUGCACAGCAGCCAGAAACAGCAGCCAGUCCCACAGUGUAAAAAAAGUUCAGUUCUUUUUUUUUUUUGUGUUACAGUCGUCAUCUAUGCACAGCAGCCAAUCCCAAAGUGUAAAGAAAGUUCAGUUCUUUUUUUUUUGUGUUACAGUCGUCAUCUAUGCACAGCAGCCAAUCCCAAAGUGUAAAGAAAGUUCAGUUCUUUUUUUUUUUGUGUUACAGUCGUCAUCUAUGCCUCCCAAAAAAAAAGAAAAAAAAUAAACCAAAGGGAUUAGAAGAAAAAGCUAACAAAUCAAGAGCAUGGACAGUAGAAAACAGGAACACAAGAAACCAAGACACAAGAAAACACCAAUAUAGCAGUGCGAGGCAAUAGGUAGUAGUAGAUGGGCUCGCACAGGAAGAUUUGUGUUACAGUCGUCAUCUUUGCCUCCCCAAAAAAAAAACCCAAACGAAUUAGAAGAAAAGGCGAACAAAUCAAGAGUAUGGAGAGUAGAAAACAGGGACAGCAGGAACCAAGACAUAAGAAAGCCCCCAAUACAGCAGUGCCAGGCAAUAGGUAGUAGUAGAUGGGUUCGCAUAGAAAGGCCGUCCAAUCUGUAGCAGAUGGUUGCCUUUGCAUGGAAUACCCAAGCAGCAUUUCCAAUUUUCAUGAGCAAACACCAGCUAGUGUAUAGGUUGCC
This 811-nucleotide long non-coding RNA is filed under the name Ananas comosus (pineapple). RNAcentral describes it as "long non-coding RNA (ACOM_LNC027122)". The record is from RNAcentral. Lineage: Eukaryota; Viridiplantae; Streptophyta; Magnoliopsida; Poales; Bromeliaceae.